GAGUUUGAUGUGGCUCAGGAUGAACGCUGGCGGCGUGCUUAACACAUGCAAGUCAAGGGGGCCCGGAGCGCAAGCUUUGGGCAACCGGCGAACGGGUGCGUAACACGUGAGCAACCUGCCUAGGUGUGGGGGAUAGCCGGCCCAACGGCCGGGUAAUACCGCAUACGCUCAACACGAGGCAUUUCGAGUUGAGGAAACCUUCGGGGCACUAUGAGGGGCUCGCGGCCUAUCAGCUAGUUGGUGAGGUAAUGGCUCACCAAGGCUACGACGGGUAGCUGGUCUGAGAGGAUGGCCAGCCACAUUGGGACUGAGAAACGGCCCAGACUCCUACGGGAGGCAGCAGUGGGGAAUCUUGCGCAAUGGCCUAACGGCUGACGCAGCGACGCCGCGUGAGGGAUGACGCUCUUCGGAGUGUAAACCUCUUUUGCCUGGAACGAACUAUCAGCAUUUGCUGAUUUGACGGUACCGGGUGAAUAAGCACCGGCUAACUCCGUGCCAGCCGCCGCAGU
RNAcentral lists this ribosomal RNA (509 nucleotides) under uncultured bacterium. RNAcentral describes it as "bacterial SSU rRNA". It matches the Rfam family "Bacterial small subunit ribosomal RNA", at positions 9 to 521 of the family's 1533-position model. The record is from RNAcentral.